Molecule: ribosomal RNA, 495 nt
Filed under: uncultured bacterium
Lineage: Bacteria
Description: partial 16S ribosomal RNA
Rfam family: Bacterial small subunit ribosomal RNA
Source: RNAcentral
GAUGAACGCUGGCGGCGUGCCUAAUACAUGCAAGUAGAACGCUGAAGGAGGAGCUUGCUCUUCUGGAUGAGUUGCGAACGGGUGAGUAACGCGUAGGUAACCUGCCUGGUAGCGGGGGAUAACUAUUGGAAACGAUAGCUAAUACCGCAUGACAACAGUUAUUGCAUGAUAACUGUUUAAAAGGGGCAACUGCUCCACUACCAGAUGGACCUGCGUUGUAUUAGCUAGUUGGUGAGGUAACGGCUCACCAAGGCGACGAUACAUAGCCGACCUGAGAGGGGGAUCGGCCACACUGGGACGGAGACACGGCACAGAGUGCUACGGGAGGCAGCAGUAGGGAAACUUCGGCAAUGGACGGAAGUCUGACCGAGAAACGCCGCGUGAGUGAAGAAGGGUGUCGGAUCGUAAAGCUCUGUUGUAAGAGAAGAACGAGUGUGAGAGUGGAAAGUUCACACUGUGACGGUAUCUUACCAGAAAGGGACGGCUAACUACGUG